RNAcentral lists this transfer RNA (73 nucleotides) under Trichonephila inaurata madagascariensis. RNAcentral's name for it is "tRNA-Glu". It matches the Rfam family "tRNA". Rfam says of the family: Transfer RNA (tRNA) molecules are approximately 80 nucleotides in length. Their secondary structure includes four short double-helical elements and three loops (D, anti-codon, and T loops). Further hydrogen bonds mediate the characteristic L-shaped molecular structure. tRNAs have two regions of fundamental functional importance: the anti-codon, which is responsible for specific mRNA codon recognition, and the 3' end, to which the tRNAs corresponding amino acid is attached (by aminoacyl-tRNA synthetases). tRNAs cope with the degeneracy of the genetic code in two manners: having more than one tRNA (with a specific anti-codon) for a particular amino acid; and 'wobble' base-pairing, i.e. permitting non-standard base-pairing at the 3rd anti-codon position. Lineage: Eukaryota; Metazoa; Arthropoda; Arachnida; Araneae; Nephilidae. The record is from RNAcentral.
UCCCUGGUGAUCUAGUGGUUAGGAUUCCUGGCUCUCACCUAGGCUACCCGGGUUCGAUUCCCGGCAUAGGAAA